GUGGGGAAUAUUGCACAAUGGGCGCAAGCCUGAUGCAGCAACGCCGCGUGAGGGACGACGGCCUUCGGGUUGUAAACCUCUUUUAGCAGGGAAGAAGCGAAAGUGACGGUACCUGCAGAAAAAGCACCGGCUAACUACGUGCCAGCAGCCGCGGUAAUACGUAGGGUGCAAGCGUUGUCCGGAAUUAUUGGGCGUAAAGAGCUCGUAGGCGGUUUGUCGCGUCUGCUGUGAAAACCCGAGGCUCAACCUCGGGCCUGCAGUGGGUACGGGCAGACUAGAGUGCGGUAGGGGAGAUUGGAAUUCCUGGUGUAGCGGUGGAAUGCGCAGAUAUCAGGAGGAACACCGAUGGCGAAGGCAGAUCUCUGGGCCGUAACUGACGCUGAGGAGCGAAAGCGUGGGGAGCGAACAGGAUUAGAAACCCUUGUAGUCC
This 430-nucleotide ribosomal RNA is filed under the name uncultured bacterium. RNAcentral's name for it is "partial 16S ribosomal RNA". It matches the Rfam family "Bacterial small subunit ribosomal RNA", at positions 354 to 796 of the family's 1533-position model. The record is from RNAcentral.